ACCUGGCUGGCUCAGUUGGUAGAGCAUGAAACUCUUGAUCUUGGGGUUGUAAGUUCAAGCCCCACAUCAGGUG
Molecule: transfer RNA, 73 nt
Filed under: Ailuropoda melanoleuca (giant panda)
Lineage: Eukaryota; Metazoa; Chordata; Mammalia; Carnivora; Ursidae
Rfam family: tRNA
About the family: Transfer RNA (tRNA) molecules are approximately 80 nucleotides in length. Their secondary structure includes four short double-helical elements and three loops (D, anti-codon, and T loops).
Source: Rfam by way of RNAcentral